Nomascus leucogenys (northern white-cheeked gibbon) is the source of this 3568-nucleotide RNA transcript. It is a transcript of the gene named WD repeat domain 18, with no coding region annotated. The record is from RefSeq and is a predicted model, not a curated record. NCBI's taxonomy places the organism in Eukaryota, Metazoa, Chordata, Mammalia, Primates, Hylobatidae. The transcript has 9 exons.
GAGAGCCUGGCUCUACAAAACUAAAUAAAUAAGGAAGCAGUGAAUUCCAAUGUAUUCAUCGCCAACUAGCCAUGUUGCUGGGUGUGCGCUCUUUUAGGUGCAAUGUGUCAUUUAGGCCUGUGACGUCGGAACUUUACUAUUUGAACAUUUAAAAAUAAAUGAAUCCAAGAGGUUGAGUCACUUGGCCAAAAAUGCCCAGGAGUUAAAGGCCAAGUCAGGUACCCCGGCUCUAUAGCUCUAACUGAUCGCCGGAGACCCUGGGCCUUGGAAGAAGUCGCCUCCCCAGAUCUCUAAGCAGGCCGCGCGACCCUCGAGUCUCAGGUAAGCAGGAAACCCCAUUUCACAAGGAAGCCCCCCCAACUCCGAGGCACGGGCGCAUGCGCAGGUCGGCCACCCGCUGGGGCCGCGGGGCCGCCGCUCUGGCCCGCGUGGCGCAGUCGUCCGCGUCUCGCUGAUGAUGACGCACGUCCGGGGCGGCGGGGAAAGCAAGAUGGCGGCGCCCAUGGAGGUGGCCGUGUGUACGGACUCUGCGGCCCCGAUGUGGAGCUGCAUCGUGUGGGAACUUCACUCGGGCGCCAACCUGCUCACCUACCGCGGCGGCCAGGCGGGACCCCGCGGCCUAGCGCUGCUCAAUGACGAGUAUCUGCUGGCGGCGCAGCUGGGCAAGAACUACAUCAGCGCCUGGGAGCUGCAGCGGAAGGACCAGCUCCAGCAGAAGAUCAUGUGCCCCGGGCCUGUCACCUGUCUGACCGCGUCACCCAACGGUCUCUACGUCCUGGCAGGAGUUGCAGAAAGCAUCCAUCUGUGGGAGGUCUCCACCGGGAACCUUCUGGUCAUCCUGAGUCGACACUACCAGGACGUCUCCUGCCUUCAGUUCACAGGGGACAGCAGCCACUUCAUCUCGGGGGGCAAGGACUGCCUGGUGCUGGCUUGGAGCCUCUGCAGUGUGCUGCAGGCCGACCCCUCCAGGAUCCCGGCGCCCCGGCACGUCUGGUCUCACCACACGCUCCCCAUCACGGACCUGCACUGCGGCUUUGGGGGCCCCCUGGCCCGGGUGGCCACCUCCUCACUGGACCAGACGGUGAAGCUGUGGGAGGUCUCCUCGGGGGAGCUCCUUCUCUCCGUCCUCUUUGACGUGUCCAUCAUGGCGGUGACCAUGGACCUGGCUGAGCACCACAUGUUCUGCGGGGGCAGUGAGGGCUCCAUCUUCCAGGUCGACCUCUUCUCCUGGCCUGGACAGAGGGAGAGGAGUUUCCAGCCAGAGCAGGACGCCGGGAAGGUCUUCAAAGGGCACAGGAACCAGGUGACCUGCCUGUCGGUGUCCACUGACGGCAGCGUGCUGCUCUCAGGCUCCCACGACGAGACCGUGCGCCUCUGGGACGUGCAGAGCAGGCAGUGCAUCCGGACCGUGGCCCUCAAAGGCCCAGUCACCAACGCCACCAUCCUGCUGGCGCCCGUCAGCAUGCUGAGCUCAGACUUCAGGCCCAGCCUGCCGCUGCCCCACUUCAACAAGCACCUGCUGGGCGCCGAGCACGGGGACGAGCCGCGCCACGGGGGCCUCACCCUGCGCCUGGGCCUCCACCAGCAGGUACGGCCCCCAGCAGGGAACCCCCACUGCCCUUUUGUCUCGGAAGACCCCGCGGGCCCUGGGCUCCUUCGCUCCCUUGGUCCUGGCGCCCGUGCGGCGGUUCCCCCCCAAGCCCGGCACUGGAGGGCGCAUCCUGUGAGUGGGAUGGUGAUGCUCAGUGGGGCCUCUGCCCACUCUCAGUAUGGACCCAGAGGCUCCGAGAAGUUAACCACCCCUCGCCCCCCGGCCAGCAGGGCCGAGCUGCGCGCCCCACACACCAGCCUUCCUGCCGCUGGAGAUCCGACGACGGUCAGGUCUUUCUGCAAAGGGCCGAUGCCCCAUAUUUUGGGCUGUGAGGGCCAAAAGGUUCAUGUCUGGGCUGCCGAAGGUGCAGGAGCAGCCGUGGGGGCAGGGAGCGGGUGGGGCCCUGGUGGCUGCAGGUGGCUCCUAUGUGAGCUGGGGGCAGCCUCUCGGCCUGGUCACAGUCACGCCCUCACUCCCUGCAGCUCAGCACCGACCCCCGCUCUGUGCAGGUGCUAGGGUGGGCUCCCGUACCUUCUGAGGAUAGAGGGACUUCCAGAACACUUCCCACCCCAGCCCCAGGACCCUCAUAGAAGCCCGUGUGGUUGGCUGGGCUGGGCUGGGGUGGGGGCUGGGGGUCCUUGGGCCUGGGGAGGCUUCCCAGCGUGUUUCCGCCUCACUCCCCGACCUUCAGUGAGCUGCCUGCGUCCUUGGUGUCUCACGUCACUGUCUGUGUCCCUCGCUGGGCUCUGGCGCUUGGCACUUCUCCCCGCGCACCCUCUUCUUACCUGAGUACAGAUGGAUUUUUUUAUCUGGAGGGUGUCCGACAGCCCGACGGCCUGACAGGCCCUGCACCAGGAGAUGCUGUUAUCUCCCUUGUCCGCGCUGCCUGAUGGAGUGAUGCUCUGUCAUCCCACAUCUACCAGUGGGCUCGGAGCGGGCAGGCAAGGGACCCCCACCGUCUGGGCAUCCGCAGGCCCCUCAGACCGCAAGGAGGCCAGGAGCACAGGCUGGACUGACUGCUAACAGCGUGGGCGCAAGGAUGAGGGGCAAGCCUUUUUGUUCAGAAAGUGCCAGAACCUUCGGAGUGAAAACGCCUGCAGCGGCACAGAGCCAGCUCCACACUAGGGCGCCUGCCCAGCCACUGCCUCCUCCCAGGGCAGCCUCGGCUCCCACGAUUCCUGCCCAGCCAAGCGCCCUCCCCAGAACCCCACCCAGCUGGCCAUGGUGGGAUUCCGGAGGGGGCCAGGCCACGCCCUCCGGUAAUGCCACCUUUCCCUAGCCGCCCCGCCUGGCUCCCCUCCUCCCGCGACAGCUGCCAGUCCUCUGUGACCCUUGUUGCAAUCCAGCUGACACUGGAGUGUCGGCCUUUCCCACAGACAGGCGCUUCAUCCAGGAAGCGGGUUUCCGACCUCUGAUCCCCCAGCAACGUCCCUCCAUGUAACUGGUCCGUCUGUACAGGGCAGUGGCCUUAAACUGGGCCGGCCGGGCUCUCCCCAUUGCUGGAGGUGCUCACUGUCCGUGAGGCCCUCGCCCGGCCUUGUGUUCCAGAGCCUUCCCUGGGCUUGUGGGUCCUUCCAGGUCUGGCGCAGGCCCCCUGUCUGUGGUGUGGCCAUCUGCACCCCCAUCCCCAGCCACAUCCUUGGGUGCAGUCGUGGAGGACCUGAGGCGCUGGGUGAUGACUGCAUGGCCAGGGUCAGGGUUGUCAUCUGCAGGCUGGAGGGAGGUGAACGCCCCUGUCUCAGUCUCCCCUUCUGUCUGUGGGCAUCACGGUGGCCCCUCCCUGGCCGAGUGGCUGCCCACACUAUCGGGGGUGGGAUGGGCAGCGUGUGGUGUGUGACAGGACGUGCCCCGAGGUCACGUGGCUCCCUGUAUUGUAGGGCUCGGAGCCCAGCUACCUGGACCGCACGGAGCAGCUGCAGGCCGUCCUGGGCAGCACCAUGGAGAAGAGCGUGCUCGGUGGCCAGGACCAGCUGCGCG